GGUUGGAUCAUUACUGAAUGGCUUUUCACUUGGGACUUGUUCCCUUGGGAAAUUUCAUCCACAACCCCCCUCAUAGCAAUAUGAGGGGGUAGACCUCCUUGCGGUAACGUAAAGGGGUCAACCACCUUGCAGUAAUGUGAAGUGGUGUGUAACCAUAUUUGUACCCGCUACGGUCCUAGAGUGGGCACCCAGUACCUGAUCCGAUGCAUAUGCGGCUAGGGGAAAGGUGUUCUGGGCCGUUAGCACCUAUGACCAUACUAUGUUUAAUUUUGUUAACACGUAAACCCAGUCCAACCAAGUGAGCCCGGCUUGCCGGGCUCUGUGAACCUAUUUUGUACCGCCAGCCAACUAGUUCGGCAUUGGGUUUUCCCAAUAUUGGAUCAAGUAGCUGGCACCGCUGUCAACUUGUUCGGGAUACCAGGCUGUACUGGUAGCGGAAUAGGUUGGCUAGCAAUGUGUAUGACCACACCAUGUUUUAAUUUUGUUAAACCGUAAACCCAACUCAGAGGCUCAAUGAGUCUUUGUUAAAAAAUACAACUUUUGACAAUGGAUCUCUUGGCUCUCGCAUCGAUGAAGAACGUAGCGAAUUGCGAUAACUAAUGUGAAUUGCAGAUUCAGUGAAUCAUCGAAUUUUUGAACGCAUAUUGCACUCUUUGGUAUUCCGAAGAGUAUGCUUGUUUGAGAACCGUUUGUACUCCUCCGGACUUGUCUAGGUGCUAUCGCAUGGCGGUAGGUAAAACGCCGAUUCAGGUCUGGGACUUGGUUGUUUCUAUGCUGCCUUUAUUGGCAAUAUAGUCAACUUAAAUAUAGUACUCUGGUAUUUUGGUGUUGUCAGAUAAUUCUGCAGACUUGUGUGCCUUUUGAGAUAAUUGGGUCCCUCUUUUGGGUCUUGUUAUAGUCAAGGUUUGUUCAAACAUGAGUCUGUUUUUGAAUUGCUCUAAUGUCCAAAUAUUAUACCGAGUUGUUUUUAUAACUUGCCAGGCACCGUAUGAGUCUCUCGUAGACUUGGUGAAUACCUGAACACUUGGUCUCAAAUCAAGCAAGAGAACCCGCUGAACUUAAGCAUAUCAAUAAGCGGAGGAAAAGAAACCAACAGGGAUUCCCCUAGUAACGGCGAGUGAAGAGGGAAAAGCUCAAUUUUGAAAUCUCACAGGUUUCCUGUGCGAAUUGUAGUUUCUAGAAACGUCUUCGGGGGUGCUUUGUGUGCAAGUCCGCUGGAAAGCGGCACCAUAGAGGGUGAUAGUCCCGUGGCGCGCUGAGUUUACCCCUGUGUGAUACGUUUUCGACGAGUCGGAUAGUUUGAGAAUGCUGUCCAAAAUGGGUGGUAAAUACCAUCUAAAGCUAAAUACCGGCGAGAGACCGAUAGCAAACAAGUACCGUGAGGGAAAGAUGAAAAGAACUUUGAAAAGAGAGUUAAAUAGUACGUGAAAUUGUCAAAAGGGAAACGCUUGAUACCAGUAUUGGAUCGCGUGAAUCAGCCGAAAGGUGCACUUUACGCGUAUCCGGGUCAACACCAGUUUGGGUAGGAGUUGAAUCCUUGAGGAAGGUAGCUUUAUGUGUUAUAGCCUCUUGGGAUGCUUCGGCCCGGACUGAGGUCUGUAGCUUUGUUAUCGGAGUUUGGGUCUGUCUUGGACGCGGUUAGGCAAACAACUUGUUGAUUGCUUGAUUUGCCAAGGGACAGUUCCAAUUUUCCAGUCUGAGCUUUGGAUGUUGACGAAAUGGUCUCAAACGACCCGUCUUGAAACACGGACCAAGGAGUCCAACACAUGCGCGAGUGUUUGGGUGUUUAAACCCGAGCGCGAAAUGAAAGUAAAUGUAGGUGGGAUCCCGCAAGGGUGCACCAUCGACCGGUCUGGAUUCUUUUGAAAGAUCUGAGUAUGAGCGCAUGUGUUGGGACCCGAAAGAUGGUGAACUAUGCCUGAAUAGGGUGAAGUCAGAGGAAACUCUGAUGGAAGCUCGUAGCGGUUCUGACGUGCAAAUCGAUCGUCAAAUUUGGGUAUAGGGGCGAAAGACUAAUCGAACCAUCUAGUAGCUGGUUCCCUC
Molecule: unclassified non-coding RNA, 2043 nt
Filed under: uncultured fungus
Lineage: Eukaryota; Fungi
Description: sequence contains 18S rRNA gene, ITS1, 5.8S rRNA gene, ITS2, 28S rRNA gene
Rfam family: Eukaryotic large subunit ribosomal RNA (bases 1026-2043)
Source: RNAcentral